GAUUUUUAGAUGUGUGGCAGAGAUGAUGGCAUUGAUCUUUCCGAUCCAUGGUCUGUCCAGAAUGCCGUUGUAGGGUGAGAGUUCAUGAAUGACCAUGAAUGUUUUUGGGAGCUGAUUACAGAUAGAGAGUAGACGUCAAGAUCUAUGGUGCCCACGGUAACCGUUGUUGCGCCAUGGAAACCAGUCAGCGACCUGACUGAUUUGUUGAUCUUUGUCUCCAAGCCCAUCUGCUGGAUGACGGCUAGUUGCAG
Molecule: long non-coding RNA, 251 nt
Filed under: Prunus persica (peach)
Lineage: Eukaryota; Viridiplantae; Streptophyta; Magnoliopsida; Rosales; Rosaceae
Description: long non-coding RNA (PPER_LNC000962)
Source: RNAcentral